Molecule: ribosomal RNA, 340 nt
Filed under: uncultured bacterium
Lineage: Bacteria
Description: bacterial SSU rRNA
Rfam family: Bacterial small subunit ribosomal RNA
Source: RNAcentral
AAAACACUCCUACGGGAGGCAGCAGUGGGGAAUAUUGGACAAUGGGGGAAACCCUGAUCCAGCAAUGCCGCGUGAAUGAAGAAGGCCUUAGGGUUGUAAAAUUCUUUUGUUCGUGACGAUAAUGACGGUAGCGGACGAAUAAGCCCUGGCUAACUCUGUGCCAGCAGCCGCGGUAAUACAGAGAGGGCAAGCGUUGUCCGGAAUGACUGGGCGUAAAGCGCGCGCAGGCGGUUUCUUAAGUUGGAUGUGAAAUCCCCGGGCUUAACCUGGGAACUGCAUUCGAUACUGGGGAACUAGAGGCCGAGAGAGGAAAGCGGAAUGACGAGUGUAGAGGUGAAAU